UGAGAAUCUGCCCUCAGGAGGGGGACAACAGCUGGAAACGGCUGCUAAUACCCCAUAUGCCGCGAGGUGAAAUGAAUUUCGCCUGAGGAUGAGCUCGCGUCUGAUUAGCUAGUUGGUGUAGGUAAUGGCUCACCAAGGCAUCGAUCAGUAGCUGGUCUGAGAGGAUGAUCAGCCACACUGGGACUGAGACACGGCCCAGACUCCUACGGGAGGCAGCAGUGGGGAAUUUUCCGCAAUGGGCGAAAGCCUGACGGAGCAACGCCGCGUGAGGGAUGAAGGCCUCUGGGCUGUAAACCUCUUUUAUCAAGGAAGAAGAUCUGACGGUACUUGAUGAAUAAGCCCACGGCUAAUUCCCGUGCCAGCAGCCGCGGUAAUACGGGAGUGG
This 385-nucleotide ribosomal RNA is filed under the name uncultured bacterium. Its description in RNAcentral is "bacterial SSU rRNA". It matches the Rfam family "Bacterial small subunit ribosomal RNA", at positions 118 to 534 of the family's 1533-position model. The record is from RNAcentral.